RNAcentral lists this ribosomal RNA (335 nucleotides) under uncultured yeast. RNAcentral describes it as "partial large subunit ribosomal RNA". It matches the Rfam family "Eukaryotic large subunit ribosomal RNA", at positions 40 to 358 of the family's 3401-position model. The record is from RNAcentral. Lineage: Eukaryota; Fungi.
AUAUUAAUAAGCGGAGGAAAAGAAACUAACCAGGAUUCCCUCAGUAACGGCGAGUGAAGCGGGAACAGCUCAAAUUUGAAAUCUGGCACCCCCGCUGGGGCGCCCGAAUUGUAGUUUGUGGGAGUUGCAUCGGGCGGCCGCCCCGGUAGAAGUUCUUUGGAACGAGACAUCACAGAGGGUGAGAAUCCCGUACGUGACCGGGGAGCGCAGGCGCCGCCGGAGGAUUUGCAUCUCCGAAGAGUCGGGCUGCUUGGGAUUGCAGUCUGAAACGGGUGGUAAUUUUCAUCUAAAGCUAAAUAGAGGCGAGAGACCGAUAGCGAACAAGUACCGUGAGG